This is a long non-coding RNA of Phyllostomus discolor (pale spear-nosed bat), 94 nucleotides long. RefSeq lists it as uncharacterized. Lineage: Eukaryota; Metazoa; Chordata; Mammalia; Chiroptera; Phyllostomidae. The record is from RefSeq and is a predicted model, not a curated record. The transcript is spliced from 3 exons.
UUUUGAAUUCUGAAAGAAAAUAAUAGUCUUUCCAGAAAUUAAGAGGCUAAAAAUUAGUAAAGUAGAUGGACAUACUCAUAGAAAUAAACUGGGA